Long non-coding RNA from Telopea speciosissima, 248 nucleotides. RefSeq lists it as uncharacterized. NCBI's taxonomy places the organism in Eukaryota, Viridiplantae, Streptophyta, Magnoliopsida, Proteales, Proteaceae. The record is from RefSeq and is a predicted model, not a curated record. The transcript is spliced from 3 exons.
AUUUGAGAAUGUGAAGGUUUUGGUGAUAGAUCAGAAAAUUUCAGCGAUUAAGGACAUAGUUCCUCUGUUAGAGAAGACCACACAACUGAGAUCACCUUUGCUUAUUAUUGCCGAAGAUGUCACUGGUGAGGGUUUGGCCACUCUAGUUGUGAACAAGUUACGUGGUAUUCUCAAUGUUGCUGCCAUAAAGGUACCUGGUUUUGUUGAGAGGCGAAAGGCUUUGCUUCAAGACAUUGCAAUUUUGACAG